RNAcentral lists this ribosomal RNA (866 nucleotides) under Pluteus xylophilus. RNAcentral's name for it is "LSU rRNA". It matches the Rfam family "Eukaryotic large subunit ribosomal RNA", at positions 34 to 889 of the family's 3401-position model. Lineage: Eukaryota; Fungi; Basidiomycota; Agaricomycetes; Agaricales; Pluteaceae. The record is from RNAcentral.
UUAAGCAUAUCAAUAAGCGGAGGAAAAGAAACUAACAAGGAUUCCCCUAGUAACUGCGAGUGAAGCGGGAAAAGCUCAAAUUUAAAAUCUGGCGGUCUCUGGCUGUCCGAGUUGUAAACUAGAGAAGUGUUAUCCGUGCUGGACCAUGUAUAAGUCUCCUGGAACGGAGCGUCAUAGAGGGUGAGAAUCCCGUCUUUGACAUGGACUACCAGUGCAUUGUGGUAUGCUCUCAAAGAGUCGAGUUGUUUGGGAAUGCAGCUCAAAAUGGGUGGUAAAUUCCAUCUAAAGCUAAAUAUUGGCGAGAGACCGAUAGCGAACAAGUACCGUGAGGGAAAGAUGAAAAGAACUUUGGAAAGAGAGUUAAACAGUACGUGAAAUUGUUGAAAGGGAAACGCUUGAAGUCAGUCACAUUGGCUGGAGAUCAACCUUGCUUUUGGAAGGUGUACUCUCUGGUUGAUGGGUCAGCAUCAAUUUUGACCAUUGGAAAAAGGUCAGGGGAAUGUGGCAUCCUUGGAUGUGUUAUAGCCCUUGGUUGUAUACAGUGGUUGGGAUUGAGGAACUCAGCACGCCGCAAGGCCGGGUUUUACCACGUUCGUGCUUAGGAUGCUGGCAUAAUGGCUUUAAUCGACCCGUCUUGAAACACGGACCAAGGAGUCUAACAUGCCUGCGAGUGUUUGGGUGGAAAACCCAUGCGCGUAAUGAAAGUGAUAGUUGAGAUCUCUGUCAUGGAGAGCACCGACGCCCGGACCAGACCUUUUGUGACGGAUCCGCGGUAGAGCAUGUAUGUUGGGACCCGAAAGAUGGUGAACUAUGCCUGAAUAGGGUGAAGCCAGAGAAACUCUGGUGGAGGCUCGUAGCGAUUCUGA